AGAGCGAACGCUGGCGGCAGGCCUAACACAUGCAAGUCGAGCGCCCGUAGCAAUACGGGAGCGGCAGACGGGAUAGUAACACGUGGGAACGCGCCCUUCGGUUCGGAAUAACUCAGGGAAACUUGAGCUAAUACCGGAUACGCCCUUACGGGGAAAGAUUUAUUGCCGAAGGAACGGCCCGCGUCCGAUUAGCUAGUUGGUGAGGUAAUGGCUCACCAAGGCGACGAUCGGUAGCUGGUCUGAGAGGAUGACCAGCAUCACUGGGACUGAGACACGGCCCAGACUCCUACGGGAGGCAGCAGUGGGAAUAUGGACAAUGGCGCAAGCCUGAUCCAGCCAUGCCGCGUGGAUGAUGAAGGCCUUAGGGUUGUAAAGUCCGUUUUAACGGGGAAGAUAAUGACGGUACCCGUAGAAUAAGCCCCGGCUAACUUCGUGCCAGCAGCCGC
This 446-nucleotide ribosomal RNA is filed under the name uncultured bacterium. Its description in RNAcentral is "SSU rRNA". It matches the Rfam family "Bacterial small subunit ribosomal RNA", at positions 26 to 518 of the family's 1533-position model. The record is from RNAcentral.